UAUUUUAAAAAACUAGAGAAAACAUUUAUUGAGCCUCAGCGGCAGCAGUCCAGUCACUAGUUUGGGCGGCACCAGUAGUAUUCCAGUCACCAGCACCUUCCCAAGUAUUCUCACCGACUUGUCCAGCAGUAGCGGCAGCAAGAACAUUAGGAUCAACAGAGCCAGCAGCACUAUCAGUGAUCUCGAAUUCAGCAGCAGCAACAGCCUCUUCGACUUGAGCUUCCUCGGCAGCGGCAGCAGCAGCUUUCUUAGCUUCCUCUUCACGUUCAACUUCUUCGGGAUCACGGUAGAAGUAAAGAUCAGGCAUGACAUCCCAAGGAGCGGAACGAGAAAGGGUACCACGAACACGAAGAACUUCACGAGCCAGGAGGUACCAGAUCAAACCAAUGGAUUUACGGCCCUUGUUGUUAGUAGGGAUAGCAAUAUCAACAUGGUUCAAUAUAGAGUCAGUAUCGCAAAGAGCAAUAACUGGAAUGUUGACGAAAGAAGCCUCCUUGAUAGCUUGAGCAUCGGCACGGGGAUCAGUGACGACGAUGAGACGAGGCUCACGGUAAGUACGAGUAAUGUAGUUGGUGAAGUUACCAGGAGUAAAGCGGCCAGCGAUGGCAGUAGCACCAGUGUGAGCAGCAAAUUUCAAAACAGCACGAUGUCCAUAAGUACGAGUUGAAACAACGCAAACAUCGGCAGGGUUUUCAAUAGUUGCGAUGACACGAGCAGCCAAAACCAACUUUUCCCAGGUCUUACCAAGGUUUAAAAUGUGGACGCCAUCACUACGACGUUUCCAGACGUAGUUAUCCAUGCGGACCUCCAAGUUCUUGGAGCCAAUGUGGCAGUUGGCAGCGAGGAGCUGCUUGAUGUCCUCAUCCUAAAUUCAGUGUCAGUACUUUAACUAAUCAUUCUGUCUAUAUUUCUUGACUUACAGUAGCAUUCAGUAUGUUGGGGCGUCCGACCUGUGCCAUUGCUAAGAUGAAGUAUUCAAAUGAGCUGUGUCGCUCAUUUUCUAACCAAAUUCCCAGACCUGAAACUGUGACUGCCUUCUUGCAACGCUACAAACCGGAUAGAUGUAGACCAUCCUCGUUAAAUGUAUUUUGGUGAGCUGAGUUAUGCUCGCAAUACCAGUAUAUCACAUUGUAUCUUUUAUUCGUUAAACAUGGAUCAUUGAAUUGAAUAUAUCAUUUUAUUGGUACCAUAAUCUACGCAAAGGCAAAAUGGUUUUUAUCCACCAUUGAAUAUUACAGAGUAUUCAAUAUAAAACGAAAUUAAUGAAUUUUAUUUUAGUUUCUUCAUAAGAUUAUUUGUCGAAAAUGCAGAUAAUUAUCGUUAAACUAGUAAUUAGCGUUAAAGGUGGUUAUGAUAGAAAGAGUGUGUCUAGUUAUAGGUUUUAUGAAUUGUUAGCCAACAAAAUAACCGUUUCUUUGUAAACUUUUUGUAACACAUCAUGUCUCGGCAGAAGUGUAGGGAAAACAACAUGGAUUUCAGUUUCAGACUCGAUAGCAAUUCCCAUGUAGUAACAAACGUCAAAUUUUCGAAAUCCCUCAUUAAUGAAAAUAUCUCGAAUUGAAUCCAAAGGAAUAAGUUUUGAAGACGAUUUCCAUGGUACUAUUGAAUGGCAGUUUGUUUGAACACCUAAAUCCCGAAUUACAAAGAGCGAUUCAUCUAGUAAAAUGUAAG
Schizosaccharomyces pombe (fission yeast) is the source of this 1671-nucleotide non-coding RNA. The record is from the annotation of a GenBank genome assembly. NCBI's taxonomy places the organism in Eukaryota, Fungi, Ascomycota, Schizosaccharomycetes, Schizosaccharomycetales, Schizosaccharomycetaceae.